AGUGAACGCUGGCGGCGUGCUUAACACAUGCAAGUCGAACGAGAACGGGUUAUAGCUUGCUUUAAUUGUCAGCUAAGUGGCGCACGGGGGAGUAAUGUAUAGGUAAUAUGCCUCUUACUAAGGGAUAACAAAUGGAAACGUUUGCUAAUACCUUAUACUCCUUAUUAACAGAAGUUAAUAAGGGAAAGAUUUAUUGGUAAGAGAUUAGCCUGUAUUGUAUCAGUUAGUUGGUGGGGUAAUGUCUUACCAAGACUAUGACACAUAACUGGUUUGGGAGGAUGGUAAGUCACACUGGAACUGAGACACGGUCCAGACUCCUACGGGAGUCAGCAGUGGGGAAUAUUGCAAAAUGGACGAAAGUCUGAUGCAGCAACGCCGCGUGGAGGAUGACACAUUUAGGUGCGUAAACUCCUUUUAUAUGAGAAGAUAAUGACGGUAUGAUAUGAAUAAGCACCGGCUAACUCCGUGCCAGCCGCCGCGGUAA
Molecule: ribosomal RNA, 484 nt
Filed under: uncultured bacterium
Lineage: Bacteria
Description: partial 16S ribosomal RNA
Rfam family: Bacterial small subunit ribosomal RNA
Source: RNAcentral